CAUGCAAGUCGAACGGCAGCACGGGAGCAAUCCUGGUGGCGAGUGGCGAACGGGUGAGUAAUACAUCGGAACGUGCCCAGUAGUGGGGGAUAGCCCGGCGAAAGCCGGAUUAAUACCGCAUACGACCUACGGGUGAAAGCGGGGGAUCGCAAGACCUCGCGCUAUUGGAGCGGCCGAUGGCAGAUUAGGUUGUUGGUGAGGUAAAAGCUCACCAAGCCGACGAUCUGUAGCUGGUUUGAGAGGACGACCAGCCACACUGGGACUGAGACACGGCCCAGACUCCUACGGGAGGCAGCAGUGGGGAAUUUUGGACAAUGGGCGCAAGCCUGAUCCAGCCAUGCCGCGUGCGGGAAGAAGGCCUUCGGGUUGUAAACCGCUUUUGUCAGGGAAGAAACGGUCUGAUCUAAUACAUUGGGCUAAUGACGGUACCUGAAGAAUAAGCACCGGCUAACUACGUGCCAGCAGCCGCGGUAAUACGUAGGGUGCAAGCGUUAAUCGGA
RNAcentral lists this ribosomal RNA (500 nucleotides) under uncultured bacterium. RNAcentral's name for it is "bacterial SSU rRNA". It matches the Rfam family "Bacterial small subunit ribosomal RNA", at positions 54 to 549 of the family's 1533-position model. The record is from RNAcentral.